RNAcentral lists this long non-coding RNA (977 nucleotides) under Brachypodium distachyon (stiff brome). RNAcentral's name for it is "long non-coding RNA (BDIS_LNC004358)". The record is from RNAcentral. Lineage: Eukaryota; Viridiplantae; Streptophyta; Magnoliopsida; Poales; Poaceae.
UAAUCUAUCUCCAGAUAACGUAUAUCGCACUGCACAAGUAGUUACGUAACGAAUCAUAUCCGUUUAACAUCUCCCCUCAAUCACAACUUUAUUACGUUGAGAUUACUUCUGAAAUUUUCAAGCUGUCGAGUUGACAGACUUUGGUGAAACCAUCUACAACUUGGACAUGUGCUCCACGACAGGGUUUUGGUUCUUGACAUAAUUUUGUGUACUGCCCCGUGAGUCUGGAUGGCACCCGGCAGGUUCGGGGCCGGGUCCGGCCAUACCAGACCCGGCCACCCGCCCCGAGACCCGGACCCGGCACCGGGUCUACCCGGGGACCCGCGGGUAUACCCGACCCAGAUGAACAGUUCAACAAUAAGCAAUUCAGCACAGCGAUAGAAAUUUAUAGACCUUGAAAUCGAUACAAUAAACAGUCAAAGCUUCAAUCCAGACGAGAUUAAACAACCAGGAGAGGAACAGAAUAGGAAAUCAAAAGAAAUAACAAAUCGGGUAGAAGCAGCACAGGGCAUCAGCAUUCAUCCAUCACCAUCAGGUGCUCACAAGUAGGCAAGUAGCACAACGCACACACUAGCUAGUUGGGUUCAUACAUUACAGAAAUGUUCAUAAAUCACAAUCGCCAUAAUGGGCUCAGCUCACAGCACACAAACACAAGCUGACCAUAGCGGGACGGAGGAGGAUGGGGAGUUGGGGACGGGAGCAGGGAGCAGGGAGCACGGGCGCAUACGAACAGAGGAGGGAAGUAGCGGUGGACACGGGAUGGCACGGGCGCACGGCCACUGGCCUGCGGAAGCCGACCGCCGGCAUUUGGCAGGCUGGCGGCAGAGGGCGGGACCGCGGGAGCCGGGAGAGGCGCGGCUGCGCCCGCGCGAGAGAGAAGAAGAGGGGCAGCGGGGGUCGCGGGGAGAACGGAGUUUGCCGGAUCGGGAUGGGAGAUAGGGUGCUAGGGUUUUUGGUUGGACCUUUUGGAUUGGGCU